AAAUUGUAGAGUUUGAUCAUGGCCCAGAUUGAACGCUGGCGGCAGGCCUAACACAUGCAAGUCGAGCGGAAACGAGUUAACUGACCCUUCGGGUGACGUUAACGGCGUCGAGCGGCGGACGGGUGAGUAAUGCCUGGGAAAUUGCCCUGAUGUGGGGGAUAACCAUUGGAAACGAUGGCUAAUACCGCAUAAUGCCUUCGGG
This 202-nucleotide ribosomal RNA is filed under the name Vibrio sp. ER1A. RNAcentral describes it as "partial 16S ribosomal RNA". It matches the Rfam family "Bacterial small subunit ribosomal RNA", at positions 1 to 186 of the family's 1533-position model. Lineage: Bacteria; Pseudomonadati; Pseudomonadota; Gammaproteobacteria; Vibrionales; Vibrionaceae. The record is from RNAcentral.